Fundulus heteroclitus (mummichog) is the source of this 932-nucleotide long non-coding RNA. RefSeq lists it as uncharacterized. The transcript is spliced from 3 exons. NCBI's taxonomy places the organism in Eukaryota, Metazoa, Chordata, Actinopteri, Cyprinodontiformes, Fundulidae. The record is from RefSeq and is a predicted model, not a curated record.
UCAACAGCAGAAAACAGCUGCAGCUGUGCUAUUUUUGCGUGGUCAGCCAGACUGACUUACACUGUAUGUCCACCAGUCUGGAAAGGAGCUCGUACGGCCCAAUUUCCGGGAGAUGACGUGACGCAACCACCAGGUGCCAUAUUGGCAGGACAAGCUUGUGACUAAUUUUCGUGACGAUGGUUGACUCAUGUUGUGCCCCUGAAUGCACAAACCACAGGGGGAAGUUAAAAGACAUUUUAUCGCAUCCCUAAAGAUCCUGUUAGGAGAGAAAAAUGGAUUUCUGCCAUCAAACAGCCUUGGAGCGCGAUGAAGAAAACGAAGAGCUGGAUACCGUCACUCAAUGGAUGAAGAUUUUUAAAUCAGCUCUGUCAGGAUGAGUGUGCUUCUAAAGAAAAUCACAGCUUCAACUGGAAGGAAUCAAGAACAGCCGCUCAUCCACCAGCAGACACGAAUAACCUGAACAACCACAAUGCGUUUUCCAAGCCCUCAGCUUUGUGUCAGAUCAGCAAAUGCGAGGACAUCGACUCGUUGAUGGCAGAUGGGAUGUCUACAAGACCAAAGGCUGAAAUAAAAAUGUAUGCAUCCAGAUUAUUGAAUUUGGAUGCAAUGUUCUGCUUGUUACAUUAAAUGUGUAGAAGGUUUUGAAAUGAUCCAUCAUGGCCUCAUGUUUAGGUUUAAAACUCUGGUGUUUUAACAGAUUUAUUAAUUGGGUGUCCUCUCAGAGGCUUGCUGCACAGAAUGACUGAAUCUUCCUGGUUACAUUCCAAGCUGAUGGAAACUGGGAUGUCUGAAUAUUUAGAAUUGCUCUGUCUCCCGCCUCCGCACACUCCUUUUAAUUUUUUAGUGGUUCCUUGUGUUCAGUACACAUGACUUCUGGGAAAUACACCAGUCUGUAAAAAAAAAAUAAAAAUAAGAAAAUGAACAGACCAGAC